AAAUUGAAGAGUUUGAUCAUGGCUCAGAUUGAACGCUGGCGGCAGGCCUAACACAUGCAAGUCGAGCGGUAGCACAGAGAGCUUGCUCUCGGGUGACGAGCGGCGGACGGGUGAGUAAUGUCUGGGAAACUGCCUGAUGGAGGGGGAUAACUACUGGAAACGGUAGCUAAUACCGCAUAACGUCGCAAGACCAAAGUGGGGGACCUUCGGGCCUCAUGCCAUCAGAUGUGCCCAGAUGGGAUUAGCUAGUAGGUGGGGUAAUGGCUCACCUAGGCGACGAUCCCUAGCUGGUCUGAGAGGAUGACCAGCCACACUGGAACUGAGACACGGUCCAGACUCCUACGGGAGGCAGCAGUGGGGAAUAUUGCACAAUGGGCGCAAGCCUGAUGCAGCCAUGCCGCGUGUAUGAAGAAGGCCUUCGGGUUGUAAAGUACUUUCAGCGAGGAGGAAGGCGUUAAGGUUAAUAACCUUGGCGAUUGACGUUACUCGCAGAAGAAGCACCGGCUAACUCCGUGCCAGCAGCCGCGGUAAUACGGAGGGUGCAAGCGUUAAUCGGAAUUACUGGGCGUAAAGCGCACGCAGGCGGUCUGUCAAGUCGGAUGUGAAAUCCCCGGGCUCAACCUGGGAACUGCAUUCGAAACUGGCAGGCUAGAGUCUUGUAGAGGGGGUAGAAUUCCAGGUGUAGCGGUGAAAUGCGUAGAGAUCUGGAGGAAUACCGGUGGCGAAGGCGGCCCCCUGGACAAAGACUGACGCUCAGGUGCGAAAGCGUGGGGAGCAAACAGGAUUAGAUACCCUGGUAGUCCACGCCGUAAACGAUGUCGACUUGGAGGUUGUGCCCUUGAGGCGUGGCUUCCGGAGCUAACGCGUUAAGUCGACCGCCUGGGGAGUACGGCCGCAAGGUUAAAACUCAAAUGAAUUGACGGGGGCCCGCACAAGCGGUGGAGCAUGUGGUUUAAUUCGAUGCAACGCGAAGAACCUUACCUACUCUUGACAUCCAGAGAACUUAGCAGAGAUGCUUUGGUGCCUUCGGGAACUCUGAGACAGGUGCUGCAUGGCUGUCGUCAGCUCGUGUUGUGAAAUGUUGGGUUAAGUCCCGCAACGAGCGCAACCCUUAUCCUUUGUUGCCAGCGGUCCGGCCGGGAACUCAAAGGAGACUGCCAGUGAUAAACUGGAGGAAGGUGGGGAUGACGUCAAGUCAUCAUGGCCCUUACGAGUAGGGCUACACACGUGCUACAAUGGCAUAUACAAAGAGAAGCGACCUCGCGAGAGCAAGCGGACCUCAUAAAGUAUGUCGUAGUCCGGAUUGGAGUCUGCAACUCGACUCCAUGAAGUCGGAAUCGCUAGUAAUCGUAGAUCAGAAUGCUACGGUGAAUACGUUCCCGGGCCUUGUACACACCGCCCGUCACACCAUGGGAGUGGGUUGCAAAAGAAGUAGGUAGCUUAACCUUCGGGAGGGCGCUUACCACUUUGUGAUUCAUGACUGGGGUGAAGUCGUAACAAGGUAACCGUAGGGGAACCUGCGGUUGGAUCACCUCCUUACCUUAAAGAA
This 1549-nucleotide ribosomal RNA is filed under the name Klebsiella aerogenes. Its description in RNAcentral is "16S ribosomal RNA". It matches the Rfam family "Bacterial small subunit ribosomal RNA". Lineage: Bacteria; Pseudomonadati; Pseudomonadota; Gammaproteobacteria; Enterobacterales; Enterobacteriaceae. The record is from RNAcentral.